This 262-nucleotide long non-coding RNA is filed under the name Phasianus colchicus (ring-necked pheasant). Its description in RNAcentral is "lncRNA (ENSPCLG00000014690.1)". The record is from RNAcentral. Lineage: Eukaryota; Metazoa; Chordata; Aves; Galliformes; Phasianidae.
GUGUGAACCAGGAGGGAGCAUGAAGAGGAUGAAAGGUCCCUGAAGGGAAGCCAGCUGUUUUGCUCUGGAAAGCAGCAACGUUUUGCAGUGAUAGAAGGACUGGUGACAUGGAUCAUGCUGCUGGAGGAGGAGUCUCUCAGACUACAAAGGAAUCUGGAAGGAUUUGAUAGCUGAGGCUUUUCUUGUCGCAAGAACAAAGGGUGUGUGAUUGCUAUGGGAGCUCCCUGGCUUUGCAGCACUGUCAGUCUGCAGCAUCUCUAGA